ACGGCCCUAUGGAUUGUAAACUUCUUUAAUAGGUGAAUAAGGAGAGGUACGUGUACCGAUUAGAAAGUAUCCUAAGAAUAAGUAUCGGCUAACUCCGUGCCAGCAGCCGCGGUAAUACGGAGGAUCCGAGCGUUAUCCGGAUUUAUUGGGUUUAAAGGGUGCGUAGGUGGCUGAUUAAGUCAGUGGUGAAAAUUUAUGGCUCAACCAUAGUCUUGCCGUUGAUACUGGUUAUCUUGAGUGCAGAUGAUGUGGGCGGAAUGCGUGGUGUAGCGGUGAAAUGCUUAGAUAUUACGCAGAACUCCGAUUGCGAAGGCAGCUUACUGAACUGCUACUGACACUGAUGCUCGAAAGCGUGGGUAUCAAACAGGAUUAGAUACCCUGGUAGUCCACGCCGUAAACUAUGAUUACUCGCAGUAUGCGAUAUACAGUAUGCUCUCAAGCGAAAGCAUUAAGUAAUCCACCUGGGGAGUACGUCGGCAACGAUGAAACUC
Molecule: ribosomal RNA, 491 nt
Filed under: uncultured bacterium
Lineage: Bacteria
Description: bacterial SSU rRNA
Rfam family: Bacterial small subunit ribosomal RNA
Source: RNAcentral